RNAcentral lists this ribosomal RNA (497 nucleotides) under uncultured bacterium. RNAcentral's name for it is "partial 16S ribosomal RNA". It matches the Rfam family "Bacterial small subunit ribosomal RNA", at positions 28 to 507 of the family's 1533-position model. The record is from RNAcentral.
GAUGAACGCUGGCGGCGUGCCUAAUACAUGCAAGUCGAGCGAACGGACGAGAAGCUUGCUUCUCUGAUGUUAGCGGCGGACGUGUGAGUAACACGUGGAUAACCUACCUAUAAUACUGGGAUAACUUCGGGAAACCGGAGCUAAUACCGGAUGAUAUUUUGAACCGCAUGGUUCAAAAGUGAAAGACGGUCUUGCUGUCACUUAUAGAUGGAUCCGCGCUGCAUUAGCUAGUUGGUAAGGUAACGGCUUACCAAGGCAACGAUGCAUAGCCGACCUGAGAGGGUGAUCGGCCACACUGGAACUGAGACACGGUCCAGACUCCUACGGGAGGCAGCAGUAGGGAAUCUUCCGCAAUGGGCGAAAGCCUGACGGAGCAACGCCGCGUGAGUGAUGAAGGUCUUCGGAUCGUAAAACUCUGUUAUUAGGGAAGAACAUAUGUGUAAGUAACUGUGCACAUCUUGACGGUACCUAAUCAGAAAGCCACGGCUAACUACGUG